This 3818-nucleotide long non-coding RNA is filed under the name Helianthus annuus (common sunflower). RNAcentral describes it as "sRNA HanXRQr2_Chr06g0270501". Lineage: Eukaryota; Viridiplantae; Streptophyta; Magnoliopsida; Asterales; Asteraceae. The record is from RNAcentral.
UUCUCUCUCACAACUCCAGAUGUCUCACAAAACUCCAGAUCUUCUCUCUCUCACUCUCUCUCCUUCUCUCGCUCUACGACUCAAGAACAUCAUGCCAGAUCUCUCAUCAGAUGCCGUUUCAUGACAAGAUCGUUGAAGGUCUGCAACCUUUGUUCUAGGAAUCUUGAAAAUCUUUGUUAUUACAAUUUUCUGUAAUCAUUGUGACCACUACCGGUUGUAAUGUAGUGGUUCCGACACCUGAGCUCUGGUGGAGGAGACUAGGGUUUCGGCGAAGAUAAAGCCAUCGGAGGCUAAACAACUCAAAAAGGCUGCUUAAUUUGGUUUUUUGUCACCUGAAACCCUAAUUCAUUCAUUGGAGGAAACUGCAGGUGUUGUGUCUGAAGGUGGUAGGGGCCUGAGCAUUUGGGAUGUUUUCUGCCUCACAAAUCCAGGUUUGUCUUCUUCACCAUGAGCACAUACAGUAAGGUGUGUUAAAUAGGUAGUGUUUGCCGGUUGACGGCUCCAACCCGACACUAACCUGAAUACGACAAACCUUGGUUUAAAACCUUGGUUUAAAAAGCGGGAAGAACACAAAAGCAAUGAGGUCUAAAAUUAUUUAUUGGAUUAUUUUGAAUUUAAUGUUAGGUGACUGAUGCGAUUGAGAUGUUGGUCCGUAUGUUACAUAGAGUUUAAGUAGAGGAUCAGAUCCACCAUCCAAUGUGCCUAAAAAAGCUUCUAAAGUGAUAAAUCCUAGAUGAAGCUUCGAGGAAAGAAUAUCUGGUCAAUAAAGCUCUUUCUCAGAUUUUAUAGUUGUUUUUAGAGAGCUUGAAAAUAAAUGUGUUUUGUUUUCAUAUAGGAAAGAAAAUACCUGAAUCAAAGAAUUGUUUGAAAAUAUUGAAAAGUUGGGGUAAAGUUUGAUUCAAUUGAAAGGCUGAAUCUUGGAAUGGAGAAUCCUGAUGGGAAUUUGUAAACUUUGAAGUUAUUUUAACAAAAAAAACCUUUUUUAAACCAACCCGACCCGAAACCCACUCCGGCCCGAACCCAUUCUGACCUGAACCCAUCCCGACCCUAACCCAUUCCGACCCGCCACCCAAUCCGACCCGAAUCAAAGAUUCGCUACCUUUUUUGGAUGAUUCCAUGUCGGAUCUGUGUAAUACUUUCAGAAUGUUGAAUUUGAUUUAUGUGAAGGUGUUUUGUUGUUCGUUGUUUCUUCGAAUCUCCAUUUGUUGUUUUAUUUUUCUUCGAAGCUCCAUGUGCGGAUGUUAAGUUGACUGAACAAAAUAACGACUCAACGGUAAGAUUAUUGAGCAGAUCGGUUGCAACUGAGACGAGAUCCUUUAGCAGUACAUGGCUGUCAAGGUUGGUUCCGACAACUCGAUUCCGAUUUAGCGGCCGCAUGUAUAUUUUUCCAGAACAAAGGUACUUUUCGUUUUCUUAAUGUAACUGUAUUACACGUGGUGGUGUACUUGCAGCAGUGGUCUGCAAUCAAGGUCAUUGCACCCUAUGUGGUUAUCCAAUGGAAACCUUAUUGAGAAAGGAGACCUAGAGGUGAAAAUCUUUUGUGUAUGGUUGCUGCUAUGAAGAAAAUGAAAGAUCUUGGAAAUGUUUGCAUGGAACAAGCAGCAGAGAUUGAGAAGUUAAAUAAUCUGGGAACAGAUAUUUGAGAGGGUGACAAAGAACCUAAAAGUGGCCCGAGUGUUUACAACUUUGGUGGAGGAGAUGAAGGCGUCAAGGCGUCAAGGUGACAUGGGGGCUGGAAAGAGCACAGCUCUAAAGGACAUUCUUCAAGAGUAAGUCGUUAAGUAUAUUAUACAAAUGACUCCCUCGAGGUAAGUUGAACGGGUUAGAUAAUAGGUCAAAACAGAUAUAUAUAAAAAAUAACGAGUAGGAUAUGCUUAAAAAAACAAUAUUAAUAUUUUAUUAAUCCAAAUCUUUGAAUUAAACAACUUAAAGGUUUUUCACAUAAAAAAUAGAAUUGAGCUACUUUCAAUGUGUUUAAUACUUUCAACCCAUUUGACCCACAUGCAAGGCGGUUUCAGUUUAGAAAAUAAUAAGAAUUAUGGCGUUAAAAUAUUGAUUUUUGUUAGAUUUUAAAAGUGUAAGGUUACAUUUGUUACAAAUAAAAGGUUUUUAAGAGUUAUAAUGUGGCUUUGAAUGUACACAGACCAGUUUGGGCAGGAGCAUCAGCAAAUGCAGUUGUAAUAGAAGCUUGGGUUUGGCCUAAACGGGUUUGGGCAGGAGCAUCAGCAUCAGCAAAUGCAGUUUUAUCUCAAAACUAUACGUCUAUAUAACAUUCUUCUUUUCUUUUGAGACCGAAACACAAUUAAUAAUUUUUCUUUCUAUUUUAAACGACAGAUGCAGACAUGGGAAUUAUCUAAUAUCAAACACCUGCUUGAGUUUCUCAGAUUAUAAAAAAACAAAUACCAAAUAGAUAACAGACAUCACUAUAUAUUUCUGGUUGAUUGCUUUUAACCACAAUACCUACUAUUAAUCCAAUUGUUUUGACCCAAAUAGUCAGAAUAUCAAAUUCGGAAAGUUUUUCCCAAUAAGAUACAUUGAAUUUUGACUUAUUGACGCAAUAAUCACUUUAGGCCAGUAGCCAAACAACCCCUAAUAAGGGUAGCUGGAUACAGUGUGUAUCAACCUUUAAAUAGUUGAAUUUGCUGCCAUAUGAUAUGUAGAUAUAUUCAUUUUUCAUUUAAAUAGUUGAAUUUGCUGCAAUAUGAUAUGCUGAUAUAUUCAUUUUUCAUUAGAAAGGGAAGAUCAUGAGUGUUGCCAUAGUUCCAUGUGUUAUCACAGUUGGAUGUAUGUAUCCACGCAUUCUUCGCUGAUCUUCGUGAUCCAAAUACUCGCCUACUAGGUGGACGAUCUUUGCCACCACUCUUUAAUUUCAAGCCUCAAGGUACUUGUUGAAGGCAACCAUGGAUGGCGACGACAUCGGGUUUUAGGCGAAACAAAUUGCAAGUGAUGAUGGGAAAAUGGGCUGGUUGGGCUGAUGGAUUUUGUGCGGGCCGAAACAGGCCUGGUUAGGUUGAUCCAAGACAGUUGUUCAACAUAUUUAUCUUUUUAAUAAAUAAUUAGUUUAAGAUAUGAUCACAUAUAUUCCCUGAGCUAAAUUUUCGAAUGAAAUAAUUAAAAGAGAUUUUAGCAUUAAAAAUGGAAGUUGGACGGUUGUUGACCCGUUUGAUUAUUUGAUCCAUUUCUUUUAAAGCUAUUUUAUAUGAAUUUUACCUGUUAGAAAUACGACAUAAUCUCUAAUAAAAGUGGUAAAGGGGCACUUCUUUUUUUGGAUUUUAGGCAAGAAAUUGAGAGAAUAUGAUGAAUGAUAUGAAGUAAGAGGUCAAGGGUGCUGGUCUAAAGAAUUUAAAGACUAUAAUUUAGUUUAUAAUUCAGGAAGUCAAAGUUGCGUUGAAGUUUAUAAUUCGGUUUGGAUUUAAAGUUGAGGUGAGGUUAGAUUGAAAGUUGGUGUUAAAUCGGUUUUGGUUAAGGAUGGUGUCAAUGCUGCCAAAAAGAUUAGGUUUAAGACUGUUGCCUUGAAGACCAUUAAUUGGGCUUGGCGUGUUAUGGCUGCAACUAUAGAAAUGGAUAUGCAGAUUGAAGAUGAGGCUGCCACUUGCUGUUAUUUCUGUCUUUGUUUUGAGUAUUAUGUUUACGUUUUUCAUUAAAAUCAAGUUGUGAACCCAAUUGGCAUAUCUUUUUGUAUUGCUAUAUCGAAUGUUGGUGUCGUACCAUUACUGGAAUGAACCAAAACGAUACAGGCGUACUAUACAAAAAAUUACAAAGCGAUUGAUAAACUAACUAUGAACAACAACCGGGUUGUAAAUUGUCAUCGCCGCUGC